GAUGAACGCUGGCGGCGUGCCUAAUACAUGCAAGUCGAGCGAACCGACGAGGAGCUUGCUCCUCUGACGUUAGCGGCGGACGGGUGAGUAACACGUGGAUAACCUACCUAUAAGACUGGGAUAACUUCGGGAAACCGGAGCUAAUACCGGAUAAUAUAUUGAACCGCAUGGUUCAAUAGUGAAAGACGGUUUUGCUGUCACUUAUAGAUGGAUCCGCGCGGCAUUAGCUAGUUGGUAAGGUAACGGCUUACCAAGGCAACGAUGCCUAGCCGACCUGAGAGGUGGUUCGGCACCACUGAAACUGGAACACGUUCCAGACCCCUACGGGAGGCAGCAGUGGGGAACCUUCCGAAAGGGGGGAAGCCCGGAGGGGGCACCGCGGGGUGAGUGAUGAGGGUCUCCGGAUCGUAAACCUCGUUUAUUGGGAAAGAACAAAGGGGUAAGUAACGAGGAACGUCUGGAGGGUACUUAUUCAGAAGGCCACGCCAAAUUACGU
RNAcentral lists this ribosomal RNA (496 nucleotides) under uncultured bacterium. RNAcentral describes it as "partial 16S ribosomal RNA". It matches the Rfam family "Bacterial small subunit ribosomal RNA", at positions 28 to 506 of the family's 1533-position model. The record is from RNAcentral.